Molecule: ribosomal RNA, 833 nt
Filed under: Boletus edulis
Lineage: Eukaryota; Fungi; Basidiomycota; Agaricomycetes; Boletales; Boletaceae
Description: eukaryotic LSU rRNA
Rfam family: Eukaryotic large subunit ribosomal RNA
Source: RNAcentral
AACAAGGAUUCCCCUAGUAACUGCGAGUGAAGCGGGAAAAGUCUCAAAUUUUGAAUCUGGCAGUCUUUGCAGGCCGUCCGAGUUGUAAUCUAGAGAAGCGUCUUCCGCGCCGGCCUGUGUACAAGUCUCCUGGAAGGGAGCGUCAUAGAGGGUGAGAAUCCCGUCUCUGACACGGACCACCGGUGCUAUGUGAUGCGCUCUCGACGAGUCGAGUUGUUUGGGAAUGCAGCUCAAAAAGGGUGGUAAACUCCAUCUAAAGCUAAAUAUUGGCGAGAGACCGAUAGCGAACAAGUACCGUGAGGGAAAGAUGAAAAGGACUCUGGAAAGAGAGUUAAACAGUACGUGAAAUUGCUGAAAGGGAAACGCUCGAUGUCAGUCGCGUCGGCUGGGGGUCAACCUUGCGGUUUCGCUGGGUGUAUUUCCUGGUCGACGGGUCAGCAUCAGUUUCGGUCGUCGUACAAGGGCCAAGGGAAAGUGGCACCCUUCCGGGGGUGUGUUAUAGCCUUUCGGUCGUAUGUGGCGGCUCGGGACUGAGGAGACUCGGUGUGGGCUUCGGCUUACACUAGAGAUGCUGGCAUAAUGGCCUUGAGCGACCCGUCUUGAAACACGGACCAAGGAGUCUAACAUGUCUGCGAGUGUUUGGGUGGCAAACCCGAUCGCGAAAUGAAAGUGAAAGUCGAGAUCUCCAUCCACGGAGUGCACCGACGCCCGGAUCCAUCGUCUUUGACAAUGGAUCUGCGGUAGAGCAUGCAUGUUGGGACCCGAAAGAUGGUGAACUAUGCCUGAAUAGGGUGAAGCCAGAGGAAACUCUGGUGGAGGCUCGUAGCGAUUCU